This is a small nucleolar RNA of Leopardus geoffroyi (Geoffroy's cat), 133 nucleotides long. RefSeq annotates it as small nucleolar RNA SNORA70. Lineage: Eukaryota; Metazoa; Chordata; Mammalia; Carnivora; Felidae. The record is from RefSeq and is a predicted model, not a curated record. The transcript has a single exon.
CUGCAGCCAAUUAAGCUGACUGUGCUCUUUCCCCGUGGGGCCCACUGUGCAGUGGCUGUGAACAGCAGCCUCCUUGGUAGUGUAUGCAGCCUGUUGGUUGUACGGGUUGCCCUAUGGGACCUUGGAGACAGUU